CCCCAGACUGGCAGCCACGAGGUCCUUCCCUGUGUCCUUCCGGCCCCCACGGGAGAGGAGUGGCAGGCACGGAAAGAGAAGUUCGCGGCGGUGGUGUCUGGGAUGGUUCGGGGACUGAGGAGGGCGGGAGAGGAGGUCUGCCGUCCCCUGUCCCUGCCGGCACUUGGGAUCAGACACAGUUGUGUUCAGGCAGAAUGACAGCGCCACAAAGGAGUUUCCGAGAUUCUAAAUCCACAGACGCACCCGCUGGAUGUCCCUCACUCGGCAGGAUGCGAUGCUGACUGUCAUCGAAUAGAGACGAGAGCGUCUCACUCGGGCAGUGCCUCUGUGAUGAAACUCUCAUCGUACGAGCCCCGCACGCAGCCUUGGGGUGGGGGGCCCUCAGCACGUGGCAUCAGCGGGUACGUGUGACAUGUGACCGACCGUGGCCAAGUAGUGCCGGGGACGUCAGCUCUGCAGGGCAAGGGGCAAAGGUGGUUUCCUUUUGGAUUUGUCCUGCUAAGCGAUACGAGAUGAGCGGUUGGUUGUGCACGGAUCGUGACUUACUCCACGCUAAGGAGCCAUUCACAAGAUGCGAGUGUUGCUAUAAUUUGGAGGAGUCGCUGCAGAAGCGAGCGUAAUUCCGACUCUGUGUUCCCCGACCCUGGCUAGCUCCAUGACAGUUUUUGUUUCCUAUGAAAGCAGCCUGCUUAUUGGUAAUUCCUUUAAAUAAAGGAAUUAUUUUCCCAAGCAA
Herpailurus yagouaroundi (jaguarundi) is the source of this 733-nucleotide long non-coding RNA. RefSeq lists it as uncharacterized. The transcript has 2 exons. NCBI's taxonomy places the organism in Eukaryota, Metazoa, Chordata, Mammalia, Carnivora, Felidae. The record is from RefSeq and is a predicted model, not a curated record.